AUUGAACGCUGGCGGCAGGCUUAACACAUGCAAGUCGAGCGGGGGAAGGUAGCUUGCUACCGGACCUAGCGGCGGACGGGUGAGUAAUGCUUAGGAAUCUGCCUAUUAGUGGAGGACAACAUCUCGAAAGGGAUGCUAAUACCGCAUACGUCCUACGGGAGAAAGCAGGGGAUCUUCGGACCUUGCGCUAAUAGAUGAGCCUAAGUCGGAUUAGCUAGUUGGUGGGGUAAAGGCCUACCAAGGCGACGAUCUGUAGCGGGUCUGAGAGGAUGAUCCGCCACACUGGGACUGAGACACGGCCCAGACUCCUACGGGAGGCAGCAGUGGGGAAUAUUGGACAAUGGGGGGAACCCUGAACCAGCCAUGCCGCGUGUGUGAAGAAGGCCUUAUGGUUGUAAAGCACUUUAAGCGAGGAGGAGGCUACUCUAGUUAAUACCUAGGGAUAGUGGACGUUACUCGCAGAAUAAGCACCGGCUAACUCUGUGCCAGCAGCCGCGGUAA
This 501-nucleotide ribosomal RNA is filed under the name uncultured bacterium. RNAcentral's name for it is "partial 16S ribosomal RNA". It matches the Rfam family "Bacterial small subunit ribosomal RNA", at positions 30 to 523 of the family's 1533-position model. The record is from RNAcentral.